This 183-nucleotide ribosomal RNA is filed under the name uncultured bacterium. RNAcentral describes it as "partial 16S ribosomal RNA". It matches the Rfam family "Bacterial small subunit ribosomal RNA", at positions 1319 to 1500 of the family's 1533-position model. The record is from RNAcentral.
CAUGAAGCUGGAAUCGCUAGUAAUCGCGGAUCAGAAUGCCGCGGUGAAUACGUUCCCGGGUCUUGUACACACCGCCCGUCACACCAUGGGAGUCGGAAAUGCCCGAAGCCGGUGACUCAACCUUUAAGGAGAGAGCCGUCGAAGGCAGGUCUGAUAACUGGGGUGAAGUCGUAACAAGGUACC